Molecule: unclassified non-coding RNA, 234 nt
Filed under: uncultured fungus
Lineage: Eukaryota; Fungi
Description: partial contains 5.8S ribosomal RNA, internal transcribed spacer 2, and large subunit ribosomal RNA
Source: RNAcentral
AACGCACAUUGCGCCCCUUGGUAUUCCAUGGGGCAUGCCUGUUCGAGCGUCAUUUGUACCUUCAAGCCUAGCUUGGUGAUGGGUGUUUUGUCAUGAUUGACUCGCCUUAAACAAAUUGGUAGCCAACUCUACAGUAGGAGCGCAGCACAUUGCAUUCUCUGUUGUUAGGGUGAUCUCCCACAAAACAAUCCACUCUUUGACCUCGGAUCAGGUAGGGAUACCCGCUGAACUUAA